This 253-nucleotide ribosomal RNA is filed under the name uncultured bacterium. Its description in RNAcentral is "partial 16S ribosomal RNA". It matches the Rfam family "Bacterial small subunit ribosomal RNA", at positions 524 to 776 of the family's 1533-position model. The record is from RNAcentral.
UACGGGGGGGGCAACCGUUGUUCGGAAUUACUGGGCGUAAAGGGCUCGUAGGUGGCCAACUAAGUCAGACGUGAAAUCCCUCGGCUUAACCGGGGAACUGCGUCUGAUACUGGAUGGCUUGAGUUCGGGAGAGGGAUGCGGAAUUCCAGGUGUAGCGGUGAAAUGCGUAGAUAUGUGGAGGAACACCGAUGGCGAAGGCAGCCCCCUGGGUUAACACUGACGCUCAUGCACGAAAGCGUGGGGAGCAAACAGG